RNAcentral lists this small nuclear RNA (23 nucleotides) under Arabidopsis thaliana (thale cress). Its description in RNAcentral is "snRNA_18739". The record is from RNAcentral. Lineage: Eukaryota; Viridiplantae; Streptophyta; Magnoliopsida; Brassicales; Brassicaceae.
CUGUUCUUAUUUCUCUUUCAUUU